AACGCACGAGACCUGCGGACCUGCGGAAGGAUCAUUACUGAGUGAGGGCCCCUCGGGGUCCAACCUCCCACCCGUGUUUAACGAACCUUUGUUGCUUCGGCGGGCCCGCCUCACGGCCGCCGGGGGGCUCCUGCCCCCGGGCCCGCGCCCGCCGAAGCCCCCCCUUGAACGCUGUCUGAAGUUUGCAGUCUGAGAAACUAGCUAAAUUAGUUAAAACUUUCAACAACGGAUCUCUAGAUC
RNAcentral lists this unclassified non-coding RNA (240 nucleotides) under soil metagenome. RNAcentral's name for it is "partial contains 5.8S ribosomal RNA, internal transcribed spacer 2, and large subunit ribosomal RNA". The record is from RNAcentral.